GAAUCCUAGCGGGGAGAUGAGCAGUAUAGAUUUCUAAGGCAGAACUCCCAGAGGAGAACUGCAUUUCUUCAAAGAGAAAGGAGAAAUGUAGUUCAGAAAUGAGGAAAGAGGCAUUUUUUUUUAAUAGGUGACAGAUUUGCCAGAAUGGUAAAAAUAACUGCUAGUUUUACUUAUUGUACAAUCAGCAGGCGCCCACACUGAGACCAGAAGAAGAUAUAAAAAUCCCUUUAUUUCCUAUAGAGCGGCUGAAGAUGGACUAUGGCUAUUGAGAAUACUGAAGCGUUUGAGUAAUAGAAGUAAAUUACAAGGCAGAGCAGACUUCAGAACUGUUUCUGCCCAUGUCUGAAGGAACCCUUAUUACAAAGAUGGUGCUCAGUGAGGGUUAAGAGCUAGAAUUCUGGUGCCAGACUGUCUGGGUGUGAAUCAUAGCUCUCACUCUCACUAGUUGUGGGACUUUGGAGAAAUCACUUAACCAUUCGCUGCCUCAGUUGCCUCAUCUGUCACAUGGGAAUGAUAAUAGUUUCUACCUCAUUGGUUGAUGCCAUGUCUUGGACCACCGGGGUGACCCAGCCUGCAUGACACAGCGCUGGGCAGGGUACCCGCAAGUCACUCAAAUCACCUUGGCCAGCAGUUCACCUUGCAGCCCUCCCCUGGGAAUGGUGUGACCCGGCAGGGAAGAGCUGCAUUAGGCAGCCCCCUCGAGGCCCUUUGGCACAGUCUGCUGGAGAGCUGAGCACUCAGCCAAAGUCUGCAGGAAGCUUCCCUUGAUAAGAAACAGACUCAAAAAGACACUGUAACUUAUCCAAGGCCAUGUGUAUGGCCCGUAAAUGGCACGGCAGGGCUGGCACCCUUGGUCUGAGUUGUGUGUGUCUCGAAUGCCACACUGAACAGAAGGCCAGCUUUCCAGAUCGCCUGUGAUGGAACAGAAGGACUUUCCUCAGCCUGACCUCCAGGCUGACAGAGACCAGAAGCUAAAGCCCAGACAGCAUGGAGAGAGAGGUAAGUGGUCCUUGUCUGAAGUCUUCUCCAUGGCUCCACACCUGAACCUGUUAAAGUGAUUGAGAUUUGUGGGGAGGCUUUUCCUGCACUGAGAGAGAACCUCGGCAUCCACACUGGGUUUGCAUACGCUGCAGGGUUUACCUUCCCAUCACUCAACAAAUAUUUACUGAGCACAUACUAGGAAUCAGAUGCUACUCUGGACAUACAUCAGUGAACAGGUAAAGCCUCAUGUUCCACAGGAAAAAUAGUUGCUGGUUUUUCCAAAUAAUCAUUUUAAGUAUGUUUUCCUAGGAACAAAAGUAAUAUUUGCUUAUUCUAUGAAAUUUGAGAAAUAUACAAAAUUUUUAGAAAAUAGAAAAAAAAAGUCCAGCAGAAAAUGAUCAUCACCAUGCAGUAAUAAUGCGUGAUUACUCGCUUUUGUAUUAUCUUACACACACACACACCCACACACACGUAUAUGUGUGUGUCCAUUAUGUAUUCAAUUUUAUGUCAUUUUUUCCCGUUUCGAGUGCAUUGCAAACUCUUAAUCCCUAUUUGGGCUACUUAUAAUAAAAUACCUGAGCCAGGGUGGCUUAUAAAUAACAGAAAUUUCUUUCUCACAGCUCUGGAAGCUGGGGAAUUCAAGGUCAGUAUACCUGCAGACUGACGGUCUGCUAAGAACACAGUUCCUGAUUCACAGAUGGCAUCUUUUUGUCGUGCCUUCACAUACGGGAAGGUGCAAGGGAGCUCUCUUGGGGCCUCUUUAUAAAGGCACUAAUCCCAUCCAUGAGAGCUCCACCCUCAUGACCUAAUCACCUCCCAAAGACCCUCACCUCCUAAUACCUUCACCUUGGGGGAUUAGGAUUUCAACUUUUGAAUUUUGAAGUGACACAAACCUUCAGACCGUAGCACAAACUUAUUCCCACAUCAUGAAAAUAUGAUACUUAAUGGCUGCAUAUGGUUCCAUCCUGUAGCAAUACCAACUAUUUAACCACGCCGCAACCAUUUCACAUUUCAGUUGAUUCCAGUGUUUCACUGUGAUAAGCAACGCCUUGAAGAACCAUCUUGUACAUGAGUCUUUGGCUUCAUCGCCAAUUAGUUGUUUAGAAUAUAAUCAGAGAAGUGGGAUUACCGGUUCAAAGGGUAUGCAAAUGCUCAUGUUCUUGAUAAAUAUUGCCAGGUUGCUUUCCAGAGUGUUAGCACCAAUUUACAUUUUCACCUGUAUCUUGUGAGAUGCCUUCUCCUGCCAAUAGUCAGUAUUAGAGUGUUUCUAAUCUUUGCCAAUUUGUUACAUUAAAGAAUGGUAUUUCAUUUUAAGACUGGUUCACUUCCUAGGUUGCUCAGUAAUUAUUGGGAUUUGCUUAAACCUGAGUUUUAAUCCCAGGUCUGGCACCUUCUAACAAGAUACGUAACCUCUCUAAGCAUCAAUUUUCUUUCCAUCAAAUGUUGAUAGUUAUUCGGACUUUUUGGGAUACUGUGUGGAUUAAAUGUGUUCAGGUUUAUAACUGUUUUAACGUUCUGUUUAACGUUCUGCCUGUCACAGAACGAAUAAAUGGUAGUUAUUAUCAUGGACAUAACAAUUCAAAAAUUAUCAACACAAGAAUAGUUUCAGCCUUUUUUCUUCCCUCUGUGUUUUCAUGAAGAGUCUCAUUUUGCUCAACUGUAUUUCUUUCCCUUCUCCUCUGAAGGGGGGCUGCCUUUCUUUGGGGCUUUUGUGAAUUAGAAUUAGUAGGAAUGAGAGGGGAAAAAAGCACAAAGAGACACGCUGACCAGGGACAGACCACCCAAUACCCAGUGGCUAACAAUAAUGCACCUGGAUCUGGUAGUGGCUACAAGUAGCCCUGGUGGUGGCUGGGCUCAGCUGGGUGGUUCUGCUUUAGUCUGUGAGCUGACUGGGCUUAGCUCCAGGCUGUGAAGGGGUUCAGGUCUGCCCCACCUGUGCUUGACCUGGGGCCUGUAUGGAAUGAGGAGAAAAUAGCCCAGGGUGUGUUCUCAUGUGAGAUCACCAGAGAAACGAGGUCAUCAUGCCAAAACCCACAGGCAAAUUUAAGGCCUGUGCACCUGUUAUACCUGUUAGUAUCCUACUGGCCAAAGCAAGUCAUGUGGCCCAGGCCAACAUCAGCGGGGCGGGAAGUCUCCUUCCCCACAAUAGGGGGAAGGGAGUGACUGUGUUCUGAACAAAUGAUCAUAACGAGGAGUUCCAGGAAAUUUCAGGAAGAGGGUGCUCGACUGUGUGGUGUAAGGAAACUGGGAGAAAAGAAAAGUGGUCACGAGACAUGUUGGAUAUGGGUGAGAUUUUGCAGAUCAGAAUCCUUUUAAUUUCUCAAAGUCUCUGGUCAGGAACUUGUAAAUUACCUUUUGUCUGUCUGGACUGGGCUUUAUCAAAUGGUACUUGCCCUCGGGACUGAGAGUGUGUGAUGUCUUGCCUGGUGCCACGUAGUGGAAACAAUUACCUUCAGAGCUUUUCCUCUUUGCAUGUCUUAGAACUUUCAAGCAUUUUCUGAUGGUUCUGUUUCUUUUUCUCCCGCUAGUGGAAGAGUAUGGAUAGUGACUCCCUAAUUGUAAUUACCAAGCGAGGCACAACAUCUCCACAGGAUGUGUGUCAGCCGCCCCAUUGCCAUCUCUUUGAGAAAAGAGACAUCAAGUUUGAGAAAACUUGGACUCUCCCUGAGGGCUGAGAAUGAGAGCAACCAACUGGGUCUCAAUCAUGGCUCAGAAGCUCCAAAGUCAAUCACAGAACCUUCCAAUGAAAUCAAAUUGAUAGCGAGCACAGGGCGUGACUCUGGUGAGAUAGAGCCAGAAGAGGUUUCCUGAGAGAACUGUGUCCUGCUAGCCGCCGUCAUUGUCUGUGUAAAAAGCUUCCCCUUGCCUCCCUGGAGACCGUUUACUUGGAACGUGACAGGUUCUCAAUGUCCUGGUCUCUGGGUUUGCUUAGCUCUGCAAAUGGCUGCACAUCACAUGCAUAUCAUUACCCCACAUUCCCAGCAGGAUGAAGGGGCUUGUUAAUAGAUUCGUCCUGAAUUUUAAUUCUCACUUACUCUGACGCUAAGUAGACCACCUAAACAUGGCUGUAUCAGCUCUGCUUCGUUCUCUAAAUGUUAUCUGUCUAUAACUUUACCCAAAACAUUUUUGCUUUGUUUCCAAGAAAGCAAUGUUUCUGACCUCUUUAAAAGAAAAAAUCCACGCCUUGGAGUUCCCAUCGUGGCUCAGUGGUUAACGAAUCUGACUAGGAACCAUGAGGUUGCAGGUUCGAUCCCUGGCCUUGCUCAGUGGGUUAAGGAUUUAGUAUUACCAUGAGCUGUGGUGUAGGUCGAAGAUGCGGCUUGGAUCUGGCAUUGCUGUGGCUGUGGCAUAGGGCAGUGUCUACAGCUCUGAUUAGACCCCUAGCCUGGGAACCUCCACAUGCUGCAGGUAAAAAGACAAAAAAAAAAAAAAAAAAAUCCACACCCAGAAGAAUCAUAAGCAGUGUAAAGAAUUACACUAAAUAAUUGGUCCUCAGCCUUCCUAGAGCAGUGGCUUAGGGCAUCAGUAGUCUCAAUAUCAUUGGGCUUCUGCUGGAAUAAUGAGCAGCAUGUGUACUUUUAAAUGUAUAGUAUAUUUGAGUAUUGGGAGCAGGGAAUUUGUGUAGUUCUGUCUUCUUAAGUCAUUAGAAGACAUUUUAAAGAGUUUUCUUUAAAUCUAUAGCCAGAUUGGCUAUCUCCCUAUUUCCAUAAAAAGAAGGGAGUGUGAAGAUAAAAUCUCUGCUUUCUCCCUCCCCAAAUGGUGGCUUUUUUUUUUUUUUUUUUUUUCCUUUUUGGCUUUUCUGAAGUCCUGUUGAAGGCAGUACUUUCACGAGUUUAAAUGCUCUGACUCAGGAGUUGGAUAAGGCAGGUUUGCAUCCUAGCUCUGUGACCUUUCAUAAGCGACUUGAGCUUUCCUGUGUCUCAGUUUCUUCUUCUGAAAAUGAGGAAGAGACUAGACUCUAACUGUGGAAUGUCAGCUACCUGCCAUUUCGGAAGCUUCCUCACUUGGCCCGCAUAGCAUGUGGGUCAUGGCUAUAGCCGGCAGCCUCCCACACCCUCCGGCCGGGUCCCACCUCCAGCAUCGCCGAGUCCCUCAGCUUUGCUUGUUCAGGGACUUUUCCAAAAUGGAAGACCUGGAAAGCUCAGAGGGUUAACGCUCACCAGUGGAAUGGGAGUCCAUUCUCUGAUCCAGAGGGUGCGGUGUGGUCUUCACGGUCCCAGAGGGCACACACUAGGAUUGAGCCUCAGCUGCUCAUGGCGUUCACCAAAUGCACCACGUACUGACUUCUGUCCCCUGUCCUUCCUCCAUCUACACCCCCUUGCUGCUGCUUCCUGGUGUCCCCUCCCACUAAACUGCCUGGUCUAAGUCCUUAUCGCAAGCUCUACUCAGGGGAAUCUCAACUAGGAAAACUCUCAGUAAAUAUUUGCUCUUAUUAUUUUUAUGCAAAAGCUUUUCCAUUCCUGGGCAGACUAGUUUUGGAACUCAAAUUCAGGAUACACGUUGAAACUUUUUUUUUUUCUCAUUCGAAAUUUUAUUUAAAUCGAAAAAUGUACAAACUGAUCAAUGCCGCCUCAUCCUCCAGUUGCACCUUUAGCAAAUCCUUUGAAAUCAGACUGCUUCCCCAGUAUUGGAACCUGCACUUCUCUUCCUUUCUUGCCGCUUGGGGAGGAGCUGGGCAGCCGGGGUGACGUGGGGUGGGGGGGCGCUCAGGGGACUCAGUGUCUUUGUGCCAACGGUGGGCUGUCUGUAUUGGCAUGUGCUGCCUGGAUCUCAGCCCUGGUGGUCGAGGUUGCCGUCAGGUUCUCCAGACUCUUUCACCCAAGCCCUUUUUGAUCCCCGACACCACCAUUGGCAGGACAACUGAGUGAGAUGAAGAUUCUAGCCAGUGACCAUAGAAUUUUUUUUUUUCUCCUAUCAGGGCAAAGCCAACUGGCCUGCAACAGUAUCGACCUCCACUUUGGCUUCAUUGGCUCAGUGCUGAGGAUUUAAGCCAACUGGCCUACGUGGACAGCUUCUAGCAUUACCACAGCCUGAUCUUUCCCCUUUGGAAAUUUUCAUUGUAAUUAUCCUGGCGUUUCGCCGUGAUCAGCCUCAUGGCUAUGUGGCAGGGAGCUGAACCUUGCGGGUGGGUUGGCGCAGUUCUUCGGAUGGGUUCGUGUGGGCAAAAGUCCUCCUUCUAGUUCUCUUUUAAAUUCAAUCCCUCUCUGGCUUGGCCAUGAGGGCACAGGCAUUGCCAAGGUGAUUUUAUUAUGUGUAUCCUGGAGUAUGUUGCCUUUUGAGUUUGUAGUUCUGUUUCCUGGAAUUAUUGCUUCUGGUAGGAUUAGGGUUGCUUUCUGGCUCUUUGUUGUUGUUUCAGCUGAAAUGUUUUAUUCCUUCACUUUGCCAUUUCAUGAAGUUGAGUGAGGACAGCCAUCAGCUCUGGGAAGGUCAUUUUAGAGGGUGUUCCUGCUCUAAGCUUCUCCUCCUGGCUGCUUGUGGUGAGGUGCGAGACCAGAGGCAAGUUGCAGCUCCGAGGCUCAUUGACUGUGGAAUUGUGGGCUUCUGCCUUGGCUUCUCUGAGUCUCUGUUUCCUCAGCUGCAAGGUGGAAAUAAAGACAGGCCAAAAGAGAGUUGUGUGAAUCAAAGUAGAAAGCCAUCUAAGGUAUUCGUUCUUCUAGUAAAUAUCAAAGGAAGUCUUACCAGAAUGCCCAGCCUUUGGGAGCUGUGGUUUGGUGCGGAAAAUGACACAUGAAUGGGCAGCCAUAGUACAGACUCAUAAAUCCUACAAACAGGAAUAAAUACAUGUGUUACAGGAGCACAUGGGAAUGAGGCUUAACUCAGUCUUGAGGGCUCAUAGAGAGCUUCUUAGAAGAAGCAUAGGAAGAUUAAGUUAUUCAUGGUAAUAUUAGUUAUGAUUAGUUGGGUGCUUACUAUGUGCUGGAUAUUGAUGCUGGGCACUACCUCAGUGAGAUAUCAAUACCUCAAUUAGAUAUCACAAUAGCGCCUAUCUUAUAGGGGUCUUAACUUCCCUUUUAUAGUCAAAGAAACCAGGAGUUCCUGUUGUGGCACAGUGGAAAUGAAUCCCACUAGAAACCAUGAGGUCGUGGGUUCGAUCCCUGGCCUUGCUCAGUGGGUUAAGGAUCUGGUGUUGCUGUGAGCUGUGAUGUAGGUCACAGAUGAGGCUUGGAUCUAGCGUUGCUGUGACUGUGGUGUAGGCCAGCAGCUGUAGCUCCCUUCGACCCCUAGCCUAAGAGCCUCCAUAUGCCGCAGGUGCGGCCCUAAAAGAAAAAGACAAAAAGACAAAAAAAAAAAAAAAAAAAAAAAAG
This 7286-nucleotide long non-coding RNA is filed under the name Sus scrofa (pig). Its description in RNAcentral is "lncRNA (ENSSSCG00060022630.1)". The record is from RNAcentral. Lineage: Eukaryota; Metazoa; Chordata; Mammalia; Artiodactyla; Suidae.